Molecule: ribosomal RNA, 467 nt
Filed under: uncultured Streptococcus sp.
Lineage: Bacteria; Bacillati; Bacillota; Bacilli; Lactobacillales; Streptococcaceae
Description: bacterial SSU rRNA
Rfam family: Bacterial small subunit ribosomal RNA
Source: RNAcentral
CGGGACCCGCACAAGCAGCGGAGCAUGUGGUUUAAUUCGAAGCAACGCGAAGAACCUUUACCAGGUCUUGACAUCCCUCUGAAUGGCGCAUAGCAGCGCAGGUCUUUCGGGACAGAGGAGACAGGUGGUGCAUGGUUGUCGUCAGCUCGUGUCGUGAGAUGUUGGGUUAAGUCCCGCAACGAGCGCAACCCCUAUUGUUAGUUGCCAUCAUUCAGUUGGGCACUCUAGCGAGACUGCCGGUAAUAAACCGGAGGAAGGUGGGGAUGACGUCAAAUCAUCAUGCCCCUUAUGACCUGGGCUACACACGUGCUACAAUGGUUGGUACAACGAGUUGCGAGUCGGUGACGGCGAGCUAAUCUCUUAAAGCCAAUCUCAGUUCGGAUUGUAGGCUGCAACUCGCCUACAUGAAGUCGGAAUCGCUAGUAAUCGCGGAUCAGCACGCCGCGGUGAAUACGUUCCCGGGCCCU